CCCAUACUUUAAACUUACAAGAAAUUAAACUAGUAUUAAAAUAUGGAGCUAAUUGUAGUUGGAGCAAUAUUAGACUUAAUGGACAUAAGUUAUCAAAUUAUUAGUUUGUCUUACUAAUUCUCAAAAUAAUUUGAAUUCUAAAAUAAAUCAUUGAUACUUAAAGAAUUAUCAAUAUUUUUGAGAAUAUUUUCAGUGAUGAGAAUUUAAAUUGAUGAAAAAGGGAUGAUAAAAUGUUUUCAAUAAGUAGGAUCCCAGUAUCUGGUGAUAGAUUAAAAGCCUCGGAUAAUGAAUGUAUCCAGUGAGUUUGUAAAAAUUAAGUACAAUGGGACGUUUCGUAUAUCGUUAGACAAACCUCUUAAAAUUUUAAUGUAUUCAGUGCUAUCCGGCCCGAAAUUGAUAGUACCACGUAAUUCAACAUUUUAUAACUCGAACAGAAUAGCUUACAAAUCGUUUGUAUUUUACCGUUUUUUCGAUGUAUGUUUCAAAUGAUUGAAAUCAGGAAAGUUAAUUUCAGAAGUAACAUUUAAUUGUAUAUCCGUAAUUUUAUUCAAAAAU
RNAcentral lists this long non-coding RNA (555 nucleotides) under Androctonus crassicauda. Lineage: Eukaryota; Metazoa; Arthropoda; Arachnida; Scorpiones; Buthidae. The record is from RNAcentral.